This 475-nucleotide unclassified non-coding RNA is filed under the name Hevea brasiliensis (rubber tree). Lineage: Eukaryota; Viridiplantae; Streptophyta; Magnoliopsida; Malpighiales; Euphorbiaceae. The record is from RNAcentral.
UCUCAAGACCUAGGAACCAGGAAUUAUAUUGUUUUUUUUUUUCCUCAUUCACCAAUUAUCUUCUUUGUUUUUAUUAUAUCUUAUUUUAAUUAAAUGUCUGUCUAGUUAAGCAUGUGUGAGCUGACUUUUGCAUUCACCACUAAUUUGGAGUGUUUAGUAUGGAGCUUAGAGUAGCUUUUCAAAGGUAGCAAUCAAUGGUUCAAAGUUGUAAUUAUAAUGAUUAAAGUAAGGAUCUUCAGUUUCAAUAUCACCUUAUGGCCCUUUAAGGCUUCAACCACUAACCAUCAACUGCUAACCAUGUAGGCGCUAAGUCAACCAUUUCACUCAAACUUCCCCUAAACACUUCUAAGAUUCUCCUGAAAUAUUAUUUUCCCUCCAUACCUCUCCCUACUCUUAUCAUCUUCAUCGACCAUAAUUCCGCAUGUAUAAUUACUAAAUAUUAUUACAACAAUAACUACAAAUAAGUACAAUAGGA